GCGCCCGUAGCUCAACUGGACAGAGCGCCGGACUUCGGAUCCGGAGGCUGAGGGUUCGACUCCUUCCGGGCGCG
This 74-nucleotide transfer RNA is filed under the name Gemmatimonadota bacterium. RNAcentral's name for it is "tRNA-Arg". It matches the Rfam family "tRNA". From Rfam's summary of the family: Transfer RNA (tRNA) molecules are approximately 80 nucleotides in length. Their secondary structure includes four short double-helical elements and three loops (D, anti-codon, and T loops). Lineage: Bacteria; Pseudomonadati; Gemmatimonadota. The record is from RNAcentral. RNAcentral also lists the same sequence under 2 other names.